AUGAUUAGCUCAGUUGGUAGAGCAGCUGACUCUUAAUCAGCGGGUCGCAGGUUCGACCCCUGCAUCCUC
RNAcentral lists this transfer RNA (69 nucleotides) under Fibrobacter succinogenes. It matches the Rfam family "tRNA", at positions 5 to 66 of the family's 71-position model. From Rfam's summary of the family: Transfer RNA (tRNA) molecules are approximately 80 nucleotides in length. Their secondary structure includes four short double-helical elements and three loops (D, anti-codon, and T loops). Lineage: Bacteria; Pseudomonadati; Fibrobacterota; Fibrobacteria; Fibrobacterales; Fibrobacteraceae. The record is from RNAcentral.